This 308-nucleotide ribosomal RNA is filed under the name Bacillus vallismortis. Its description in RNAcentral is "bacterial SSU rRNA". It matches the Rfam family "Bacterial small subunit ribosomal RNA", at positions 352 to 656 of the family's 1533-position model. The record is from RNAcentral. Lineage: Bacteria; Bacillati; Bacillota; Bacilli; Caryophanales; Bacillaceae.
CCUAUAGGGAUCUUCCGCAUGGACGAAAGUCUGACGGAGCAACGCCGCGUGAGUGAUGAAGGUUUUCGGAUCGUAAAGCUCUGUUGUUAGGGAAGAACAAGUGCCGUUCAAAUAGGGCGGCACCUUGACGGUACCUAACCAGAAAGCCACGGCUAACUACGUGCCAGCAGCCGCGGUAAUACGUAGGUGGCAAGCGUUGUCCGGAAUUAUUGGGCGUAAAGGGCUCGCAGGCGGUUUCUUAAGUCUGAUGUGAAACCCCCGGCUCAACCGGGGAGGGUCAUUGAAACUGGAAUUUGAAAUUAUAUAAA